Molecule: ribosomal RNA, 393 nt
Filed under: uncultured bacterium
Lineage: Bacteria
Description: bacterial SSU rRNA
Rfam family: Bacterial small subunit ribosomal RNA
Source: RNAcentral
AGCGAACGCUGGCGGCGUGCUUAACACAUGCAAGUCGAGCGAGAAAGUCCCGCAAGGGAUGAGUACAGCGGCGAACGGGUGCGUAAUACGCGGGCAAUCUGUCCUUGAGGUGGGAAUAACCCAGCGAAAGUUGGGCUAAUACCGGAUAAGACCACGGGAGGAAACUUCUGAGGUCAAAGGCAGCCUUCUUUUGGAGGCAGUCCUUCGAGGAGGAGCCCACGUCCUAUCAGCUAGUGGUAGGGUAACGGCCUACCAAGGCAAAGACGGGUAGCUGGUCUAAGAGGAUGAUCAGCCACACGGGGACUGAGACACGGCCCCGACUCCUACGGGAGGCAGCAGUGGGGAAUAUUGGGCAAUGGGGAAACCCUGACCCAGCGACGCCGCGUGGGUGAU